UGGGGAAUAUUGGACAAUGGGCGGAAGCCUGAUCCAGCAAUGCCGCGUGUGUGAAGAAGGCCUGCGGGUUGUAAAGCACUUUCAGUGGGGAGGAAGUAAUAGCUUUGAAUAGAGGUUAUUGUUGACGUUACCCAAAGAAGAAGCACCGGCUAACUCUGUGCCAGCAGCCGCGGUAAUACAGAGGGUGCAAGCGUUAAUCGGAAUUACUGGGCGUAAAGGGUGCGUAGGUGGCUAAUUAAGUUGUAUGUGAAAUCCCCGGGCUUAACCUGGGAAUUGCGUAUAAAACUGAUUGACUAGAGUUCGGGAGAGGGAAGUGGAAUUUCCAGUGUAGCGGUGAAAUGCGUAGAUAUGCGGAGGAACACCGAUGGCGAAGGCAAUCCCCUGGGCCUGUACUGACGCUCAUGCACGAAAGCGUGGGGAGCAAACAGG
Molecule: ribosomal RNA, 429 nt
Filed under: uncultured bacterium
Lineage: Bacteria
Description: bacterial SSU rRNA
Rfam family: Bacterial small subunit ribosomal RNA
Source: RNAcentral